RNAcentral lists this ribosomal RNA (330 nucleotides) under uncultured eukaryote. Its description in RNAcentral is "partial 18S ribosomal RNA". It matches the Rfam family "Eukaryotic small subunit ribosomal RNA", at positions 1470 to 1796 of the family's 1831-position model. The record is from RNAcentral.
CCCUUAGAUGUUCUGGGCCGCACGCGUGCUACACUGAUGCAUUCAACGAGUCUAAAACCUGGUCUGAUAGGGCUGGGUAAUCUUUUGAAAGUGCAUCGUGAUUGGGAUAGAUGAUUGCAAUUCUUCAUCUUCAACGAGGAAUGCCUAGUAAACGCAAGUCAUCAGCUUGCAUUGAUUACGUCCCUGCCCUUUGUACACACCGCCCGUCGCUCCUACCGAUUGAAUGCUCCGAUGAAUACCAUGGAUUGAGAGUACGAAUAGGUUCGCUUAUUUCUGCUGCUCGAGAAGUGGAGUAAAUCUUAUCAUUUAGAGGAAGGAGAAGUCGUAACA